UCUCCCACCCUCCCUCGAGCAAACUUUGUCCCCCUUCUCGAGCCCUAGCCUCUUUCUCGACCCCUCUCACUACAUCAAUCCAUCAUUCUCAAUCACUGCAACCACUAUUCUCGAGGCCUAGCUUGUCGCACUCGUUCUUGUGUUGUCAACCUCGCUGAGCCUUCUUCUCCCUUAUCGACCCUUCUUGUUUGUGCUACUAUUCUUCUUCGUUCUGUGUUUCUAUUCAGUCGAAGGACCAUUCUCCUCCGUCAUUGGAACCGUAGCUGUCGUUUUCCCUCAAUCGAACCAGAGUCGUGUCCCUAUUGGAACCCUCGUUGUGUGGUAGUGAAACCCUCAUAGUGGCAGUGUGGUUGUUGUUGCAGAGUUCUUGAAUUUUCCUAAAGUGGUUGAGCAAUCUGGGAUACUUCAUUGGGAAGGCUUAAGUGUUGUAGAGUCAAGCAAAAGAUCAAUCGAAGCAAGGUAUGUUUGUUGGUGACUUUUCCCCUCUCUUGUUUUGUUUGUUCCAUGUGUGUAUGGUGUGCUUGUCCUGUCUGUGGUCUGAUUUCUUAGGUCUCCACUAACAUAUGUUCAGUAAUAUGUGCUUUCGGCAAAACUGUGGUUAUAUGUUCUAUUUUAUUCGGUAUUUAAUGAGUUGUACAUCCUGUGAUUUGCUUAUGAUGUUCUUCAUGAUUAGAAAUGGUUACAUUUGAUUUGCUACUGUGGAGGAUUUAUAAGCGGUUUGAGUUUUCUUUGUUAAAAUGUCUUUUCCAUUAUAUUAUUGUUCAUGAGCCCUGGAUAAAUGGACCAAAGUGAUCGAAUAUAAGAAAUACUUUUUUUUCGUAAAUAUUUAUGCUCUGACUUGUGUUUUUGACCAAGCUUCUGGCAUAGUGUGGCAUAGUGUUAAGAGAGUUUGAUGCUAGAGAAAUCAUUUAGACAACUCUUGAUUAAUAUUGAUUUGUUUUAUAAUAUUGAAUAUUUAGUUAUCCCAAAAAGAAUUGUAAUCUAAGAAACCUUGAGAUUAGUUUUUCGAAUGCCAUUAUGGUAGUUUGAUGAAUUAGAGGUAUAGAUUGGUUGACCCUUAAUCAAGUGGUUGUUCUCAUGCUUCAAAUUUGUUUUGUACUUGUGUUGUGGGCAGAAAUUGUGUCAAAUAUUCUAGUUGUGUUUGAUCUGUACUAGGAUGACAUUAUGUCACAUGACCCGAUCCCUUUCAAACUCCUUCAAAGACUAAACUUUAUGGCCCUUGUGCUCAUUAUGCAUUAUUGUGCAGUUUAUGUCUUAAAUUUAGUUAUGCAUUAGUUCUUUUUUGGUGUACUUAUUUUAAGCACUAAUGUGUGAAAUGGAAUAGUCAUUGGGAUGAAAUUAUUACUUUCACAUUUUUAAGAUGUAACAUGGGGGAAUAAAUUUUAUAGAGUUCGAUAUUUACUCUUGAUCUUGAAGAAUAUGUUUUAUGCUACUAAAACUAUUUAAUAUGAGAAGGUUGAAGGUGAAUGAUGGAACAUUUAGAGAAUGGACAUUUUCUCAUAGCUACGAAUAAAUAUAAUAGUCAGUUAUAGACUCUUGUUUGUUACAUUAUUGAUUUCCAAACGCGUUGAGUCAUUCUUAAAUUGUAAUUGCUAAGGAUUAAUUUGAUCAAAGAAAAUUUAACUUUAACUAUUAAAUGAGCUAAUAUAAUGCAUGGUAUAUUACUUUUAAGAGAUAAUAUUGUUUUUAUCCUAGAAUACAUAUAGUAAAAGGGUUUGUCAUUGAUUGUAAGGGACGUCACAAUGACCACCAAACACAACCAAUCCAAAAAUUCCACUUCAGUUGAAACCUUGUUUUGAAUAACUAAAAUCAAUUAUCUCCAACACGCACAUUCUUAAUAUUUAUGCUUCUGUUAUGUAGCCUAAUUAGGGGCUUCCUUAGGCACAACCUCACCAUAAUUAAUGCUUCAUCUCUCAUAGGUCAAGUUGGUGUUAGUUUCACAUGCAUCUACCCUUACUUGAAUAUAAGUUAGAUGAACAAACUAUUAGGGAUUCUCCCAAAUUGCAUUCCCUUUCAUGCCCUUACCAGCCUUAGUCAUGCCAACACCACUAUCAAUGAUAGUGAAUGUGUUGUUCGUCUUGUCAAGAAUAAUGUGGAUGAACAACUCUGGCUGAGCAUCAAGCUUGCUCUUGUCAAUAAGGCUCUCAAAUCGAAUUUUGUCCAAAGCCUGUACAGGUAAAACAUGCUAGAAAUCAAAUAUAAACAAAACUCCAGUCAAGAUUAAAAAUAAUGUUAUAGGUUUAUACAUAAUUAAAAACUAACUAUCAUACAUGAGCAUGUAUCUUAAAGAUUGUUAUCUUUAUUUUGUUUAAGUAAUUUAUGUAUGCCUUCUUUUUUCUGGUUUGUUGUGAACUAAGCUUAAAUUUUACCUGACACAGAUAGACUAAAGGCUGAAUAAAAUUAUUAUAGUACUUAUUGGCUUUGUGACAACUGAAUAAAUUCAUUGUCUUGUUUUUAUAAAUAAUCUAUCUUUGAAGCCUGUUAUUUUCUUUGUUUCUAUAUAUGCUUAGAUUUACAAACAAAUUCAAUCACCAAUGACACGAAAACAAUUUUUAGAUUAUUCCAUUUGCUUAACGUUGUAUUUUUUGUUGGAAUCUUAUUUGUCCUCUAUUGUCACUAACAAGGAAGGGUUUUUAGAACAUGAUAGUCUGUGUUCUGUUGGCACUCAUGGAAUUUAGGUUUGAGAUCAAUUCAACCUUCAUAGCUAGUUCUGAUAGUUGUUUUCAAUUGAUACAUACACCAUCUUCAGUGUAUUACUAAUGAAUUAAGAGAUCUCUAGCAUUUGCAAGUAAUUUUGUAAUGACUCACAACUAUUAGGAUAAGUGUUGACUUCUAAUAGUAGGUUUGAGUCAUACUUGGUUCGAAAAAUUUAUCAUGUAACUUUUCUUAAUUCUUAAUAUGAACAUUAAUAAAG
RNAcentral lists this small RNA (2914 nucleotides) under Vigna angularis var. angularis. RNAcentral's name for it is "Non-protein coding transcript". The record is from RNAcentral. Lineage: Eukaryota; Viridiplantae; Streptophyta; Magnoliopsida; Fabales; Fabaceae.